RNAcentral lists this ribosomal RNA (526 nucleotides) under uncultured bacterium. RNAcentral describes it as "bacterial SSU rRNA". It matches the Rfam family "Bacterial small subunit ribosomal RNA", at positions 28 to 526 of the family's 1533-position model. The record is from RNAcentral.
GACGAACGCUGGCGGCGUGCCUAAUACAUGCAAGUCGAACGCUUCUUUUUCCACCGGAGCUUGCUCCACCGGAAAAAGAGGAGUGGCGAACGGGUGAGUAACACGUGGGUAACCUGCCCAUCAGAAGGGGAUAACACUUGGAAACAGGUGCUAAUACCGCAUAACAAUAUCAAUCGCAUGAUAGAUAUUUGAAAGGCGCUUAUGGUGUCACUGAUAGAUGGACCCGCGGUGCAUUAGCUAGUCGGUGGGGUAACGGCCUACCGAGGCGAUGAUGCAUAGCCGACCUGAGAGGGUGAUCGGCCACAUUGGGACUGAGACACGGCCCAAACUCCUACGGGAGGCAGCAGUAGGGAAUCUUCGGCAAUGGACGCAAGUCUGACCGAGCAACGCCGCGUGAGUGAAGAAGGUUUUCGGAUCGUAAAGCUCUGUUGUUAGAGAAGAACAAGUAAGAUAGUAACUGAUCUUGCCUUGACGGUAUCUAACCAGAAAGCCACGGCUAACUACGUGCCAGCCGCCGCCGUAACAC